This 291-nucleotide ribosomal RNA is filed under the name uncultured bacterium. Its description in RNAcentral is "partial 16S ribosomal RNA". It matches the Rfam family "Bacterial small subunit ribosomal RNA", at positions 218 to 507 of the family's 1533-position model. The record is from RNAcentral.
ACAAAAGAUGAGCAUGCGUCCAUUAGCUAGUUGGUAAGGUAACGGCUUACCAAGGCUACGAUGGGUAGGGGUCCUGAGAGGGAGAUCCCCCACACUGGUACUGAGACACGGACCAGACUCCUACGGGAGGCAGCAGUGAGGAAUAUUGGACAAUGGGCGCAAGCCUGAUCCAGCCAUGCCGCGUGCAGGAUGACGGUCCUAUGGAUUGUAAACUGCUUUUGUACAGGAAGAAACACUCCCUCGUGAGGGAGCUUGACGGUACUGUAAGAAUAAGGAUCGGCUAACUCCGUG